UGGGGAAUAUUGCACAAUGGGCGCAAGCCUGAUGCAGCCAUGCCGCGUGUGUGAAGAAGGCCUUCGGGUUGUAAAGCACUUUCAGCGGGGAGGAAGGCGAUAAGGUUAAUAACCUUGUCGAUUGACGUUACCCGCAGAAGAAGCACCGGCUAACUCCUUGCCAGCAGCCGCGGUAAUACGGAGGGUGCAAGCGUUAAUCGGAAUUACUGGGCGUAAAGCGCACGCAGGCGGUCUGUCAAGUCGGAUGUGAAAUCCCCGGGCUCAACCUGGGAACUGCAUUCGAAACUGGCAGGCUAGAGUCUUGUAGAGGGGGGUAGAAUUCCAGGUGUAGCGGUGAAAUGCGUAGAGAUCUGGAGGAAUACCGGUGGCGAAGGCGGCCCCCUGGACAAAGACUGACGCUCAGGUGCGAAAGCGUGGGGAGCAAACAGG
Molecule: ribosomal RNA, 429 nt
Filed under: Chloroflexota bacterium
Lineage: Bacteria; Bacillati; Chloroflexota
Description: Chloroflexi bacterium partial 16S ribosomal RNA
Rfam family: Bacterial small subunit ribosomal RNA
Source: RNAcentral